CUUGCUCCAAGUCUCUCUUUCAUUGUCAUAUAGUAUCGAUCCACUAUAGUGUACAUUACAUGACGUAGCGCGGAGAGGCGGAGCGAGAAAGAGAGACUUGUCAACUUCGGAAAAUCUCGGUUCAAAACUGAACCGAAAAUGCAAGACUUGCUUUAAUUGUUUUCCUUCAAUUUCUUUCUGUAUUAUUUACUAUAAUGGAACUCAUGUUAUUUACACUGUGCUAGAUCAAUACAUAUAAACACUGACAGAAAACAACUAAAGCAAGUCUAAAAGUCUUCCAUUUUCGGUUCAGUUUUGAACCGAGAUUUUCCGAAGUUGACAAGUCUCUCUUUCUCGCUCCGCCCCUCCGUACUACGUCAUGUAAUGUACACUAUAGUGG
Non-coding RNA from Paramuricea clavata, 379 nucleotides. The record is from the annotation of a GenBank genome assembly. NCBI's taxonomy places the organism in Eukaryota, Metazoa, Cnidaria, Anthozoa, Malacalcyonacea, Plexauridae.